Molecule: ribosomal RNA, 1345 nt
Filed under: uncultured bacterium
Lineage: Bacteria
Description: bacterial SSU rRNA
Rfam family: Bacterial small subunit ribosomal RNA
Source: RNAcentral
GAUGAACGCUAGCGGGAGGCCUAACACAUGCAAGCCGAGCGGUAUUGUUUCUUCGGAAAUGAGAGAGCGGCGUACGGGUGCGGAACACGUGUGCAACCUGCCUUUAUCUGGGGGAUAGCCUUUCGAAAGGAAGAUUAAUACUCCAUAAUAUAUUGAACGGCAUCGUUUAAUAUUGAAAGCUCCGGCGGAUAGAGAUGGGCACGCGCAAGAUUAGCUAGUUGGUGAGGUAACGGCUCACCAAGGCGAUGAUCUUUAGGGGGCCUGAGAGGGUGAUCCCCCACACUGGUACUGAGACACGGACCAGACUCCUACGGGAGGCAGCAGUGAGGAAUAUUGGUCAAUGGGUGCAAGCCUGAACCAGCCAUCCCGCGUGAAGGACGACUGCCCUAUGGGUUGUAAACUUCUUUUGUAUAGGGAUAAACCUACCCUCGUGAGGGUAGCUGAAGGUACUAUACGAAUAAGCACCGGCUAACUCCGUGCCAGCAGCCGCGGUAAUACGGAGGGUGCAAACGUUAUCCGGAUUUAUUGGGUUUAAAGGGUCCGUAGGCGGACUUAUAAGUCAGUGGUGAAAGCCUGUCGCUUAACGAUAGAACUGCCAUUGAUACUGUAAGUCUUGAGUAUAUUUGAGGUAGCUGGAAUAAGUAGUGUAGCGGUGAAAUGCAUAGAUAUUACUUAGAACACCAAUUGCGAAGGCAGGUUACCAAGAUAUAACUGACGCUGAGGGACGAAAGCGUGGGGAGCGAACAGGAUUAGAUACCCUGGUAGUCCACGCCGUAAACGAUGCUAACUCGUUUUUGGGCUUUAGGGUUCAGAGACCAAGCGAAAGUGAUAAGUUAGCCACCUGGGGAGUACGCUCGCGAGAGUGAAACUCAAAGGAAUUGACGGGGGCCCGCACAAGCGGUGGAUUAUGUGGUUUAAUUCGAUGAUACGCGAGGAACCUUACCAAGACUUAAAUGGGAAUUGACAGCUUUAGAAAUAGAGCUUUCUUCGGACAAUUUUCAAGGUGCUGCAUGGUUGUCGUCAGCUCGUGCCGUGAGGUGUUAGGUUAAGUCCUGCAACGAGCGCAACCCCUGUCACUAGUUGCCAUCAUUCAGUUGGGGACUCUAGUGAGACUGCCUACGCAAGUAGAGAGGAAGGUGGGGAUGACGUCAAAUCAUCACGGCCCUUACGUCUUGGGCCACACACGUAAUACAAUGGCCGGUACAGAGGGCAGCUACACAGCGAUGUGAUGCAAAUCUCGAAAGCCGGUCUCAGUUCGGAUUGGAGUCUGCAACUCGACUCUAUGAAGCUGGAAUCGCUAGUAAUCGCGCAUCAGCCAUGGCGCGGUGAAUACGUUCCCGGGCCU